This 253-nucleotide ribosomal RNA is filed under the name uncultured bacterium. Its description in RNAcentral is "partial 16S ribosomal RNA". It matches the Rfam family "Bacterial small subunit ribosomal RNA", at positions 524 to 776 of the family's 1533-position model. The record is from RNAcentral.
UACAGGGGGUGCAAACGUUGCUCGGAAUUAUUGGGCGUAAAGUGCGCGUAGGCGGCUACUUAAGUCGGAUGUGAAAGCCCCUGGCUCAACUGGGGAAGUGUACCCGAAACUGAGUGGCUUGAGUACUAAAGAGGGUCGCGGAAUUCCCGGUGUAGAGGUGAAAUUCGUAGAUAUCGGGAGGAACACCAGUGGCGAAGGCGACUACCUGGCCUGUUCUUGACGCUGAGGCGCGAAAGCUAGGGGAGCAAACGGG